CAAAAAAUAGUUUAUUUAAAACAUUAAUUUUGGGUAUUAAUAAUAUUCUUAUGAAUUUUUUUGA
Molecule: transfer RNA, 64 nt
Filed under: Andrena labiata
Lineage: Eukaryota; Metazoa; Arthropoda; Insecta; Hymenoptera; Andrenidae
Description: tRNA-Pro
Source: RNAcentral